This is a small nuclear RNA of Otolemur garnettii (small-eared galago), 145 nucleotides long. Its record names the gene U1. It matches the Rfam family "U1 spliceosomal RNA". From Rfam's summary of the family: U1 is a small nuclear RNA (snRNA) component of the spliceosome (involved in pre-mRNA splicing). Its 5' end forms complementary base pairs with the 5' splice junction, thus defining the 5' donor site of an intron. NCBI's taxonomy places the organism in Eukaryota, Metazoa, Chordata, Mammalia, Primates, Galagidae. The record is from Ensembl.
AUACGUAGCUGGCAGGGGAGAUACCAUGAUCACAAAAGUGGUUUUCCCAGGGCAAGGCUUACCAUGCACUCCAGAUGUGCUGACCUUUGUGAUUUCCUCAAAUGUGGGAAACUUGACUGCAGAAUUUAUGGUAGUGGGGGACUAC